GAAGUGCUGGAGAAGUGUUGGAGAAGAGCAGAGGACAAAGCUAGAGGAGCAGGCUGCUACAGGAACCAGCUUCACUUUUUGGCAUCGCAUUCUGCUGCAGCGUGGUUCCAGGCAGAAGCUGCAGCCGCUUUCUGAAAGCACAGAGAGAUGCUCCUGGGAGCUGAAGGGGCACGAGCGCUGGGGUUCGGCAUUUGGGAGCAGAGAUCUUCAGCACCACUUGUGCUGCUGGCUCCCCUGCACAGCCAGCCUCAUGAAAACCUGAGUUUUCAAAGCACUUCUCUGAUACUGAACUGCAGGUUACAGUCCUGCUGACCACCAUCUGUGAUGAGGAGACCCCCAGACUUCACCAGACUCUCAGACACUGCUCUGAUGGCAGGAGCUCUCCAGCAGCCUGGCAAAUGUGACCAUGAUCUGGCAGACAGGACAAAGUCAAAGACCUGCUGGACUCUAAGGUUGCUCAGGCAGUCGGGUAUGAAAAGCUUGUUCUCGUUUCCUCGUGGCAAGAUCAUGUGUUGAUGGGAUGUAUGGGGUGCUAAUUACUAUCUGUCAUUGGUAUUUAUGGGGUUCAAAUCACGACAGUGCCCUGGUGCCAGGUACAAUACUGAGAUAAGCAGACAAGUUAUUGGACGUGGACUCUGCUCUUCCCACCCUAGUGCUUGGCCCCUUCGACUCAGAGACUUUGUCCUCUUGCUCAUGCUCAGAUGCAGGGCACCUGAGCAAAAGUGAGGUUUGUGCUUCACUGUGGAACAGCCCCAGCUGUGAGCCCAGCCAGGCUGUACCUGUACCCAUGGCUCCAGCUGGGAUCAUGUUCUGCUUCUGUCCCUCGUGGUGGCGUGUGACCCAAGGCAGCGGCGCUGUGACCACUGGCACCGUGAGCAGAGCCCACAGAACCUGUGGCCUGCACACCAGCUGCUGCUCAGCUCUUCUCCACUGAAUGUUUUCCAAAAUCCAGCAAACUGUGUCAACUGGGAGAGCUGAAAUCAAUUGAGGUGCUGCUUCCCAGCCUGUGCAGGGUCACAGAAGGUAAGCAUGGAAAGCUUUGGUCUCUUUGGAGAAAGAAACUGCCAUGAACAGAGGGUUGCUGGAGCCUGGCUGGCAUUAAUGGGAAGAAUUUCUUCUGGCUACUGGUGCUAAAGAGACAGUUUGCUUCUCAGACAAACUCGAUCCUUUGACCAACAUGACCAAAGCUGUGGUCAGAGAGUCAGCCUCAGCCAGAUUCUGAGAAAAACACAUGCCUGGAACUCCAUUUCUACCACUACAGAGAAAUUAAUAUGAACCCACAAGAAAGUGGAGAUGAGAUGAAAAAAAUGCACAUCACGGUAGCAGCUAGUUCUUAAGUGGGAUGGGCAUAAAUUUAUUUAAUGUGGAUAUAGAAGGGGACAAAAAUAUUUUGUUUCUAUUAUUACUUGAUUGCAGGAGGAUAAAGGGAAAUUUCCUCACAACCUCAAGAAAGAAGUGUUCACAACUACUUUUUAAAAUGUGAAAAUUAAAACAAAAAAUUAGAAAGGAAAUGGAGGAGCUGUGUAAAAAUUUUCCCCCUUCUUUUGUAUCAGCUCUGAUGGUUCUAGUUGAUGUCUAAAGAGAAAGCUUGAUGGUUCAGAGAUGAACAAGAAAGGAAUCACAUCCUUGGUAAGCCCUGCUUAUGGGACAGCAAUGCUGGGACAUGCUGAAAAUGUUUAAAUAAAGAAUGUGCCAUGAACCAACACUUACCUCCUUCUUACCCUUACAGCUAUUUCCUUGCCCUCAAAUUUUCAGGAAUGAAAAGCUGUAAGGAUCAGUAAUUACGCUGAGACUUUUCCUUUGUGUAUCACUGCUCACUCAAGAAUUUCAGCCCAUUACACAAAUAGCAGUGACGUGCUUGUCAGGGGCCCUUUGAAGCACAAAGUGCCAUUGCUGCCAGCUUGUUUCGGCAGAGGGAGAUGAAGGGAUGGAGGCUGCAAUGCUUGGGAUGCCCUCCCCUUCCUCUCCCUCCCAAGGCUCU
Molecule: long non-coding RNA, 1981 nt
Organism: Cinclus cinclus
Lineage: Eukaryota; Metazoa; Chordata; Aves; Passeriformes; Cinclidae
Exons: 4
Source: RefSeq, a predicted model, not a curated record